Molecule: transfer RNA, 88 nt
Filed under: Chthoniobacterales bacterium
Lineage: Bacteria; Pseudomonadati; Verrucomicrobiota; Spartobacteria; Chthoniobacterales
Description: tRNA-Ser
Rfam family: tRNA
About the family: Transfer RNA (tRNA) molecules are approximately 80 nucleotides in length. Their secondary structure includes four short double-helical elements and three loops (D, anti-codon, and T loops).
Source: RNAcentral
GGAUGGGUGGCAGAGUGGUCGAAUGCGCACGCUUGGAAAGCGUGUGUGCCGCAAGGCACCGAGGGUUCGAAUCCCUCCCCAUCCGCCA